AUCAUGAGGAAUAUCGUGCUUGAUUUGAGUUCACCAAUGGUUAUCUCUACUUGGAUCAUGCCCAUAGCCCUUUGUCCUCCUUGGUUAAAACCUUGGAUUAGCAGACGGCUUAGGGAUAAUUCAUCCACCUUGAUGCCGAUUGUGGUCAUUGUUGACUUUGGCAUGAUGUUUAUGGCCAAUCCACCGUCCACAACAUGCGGUUGUGAGGCCUUAAUCCUAGCAGUAAGUCUUCGUUAGUGAAGUUGAUU
RNAcentral lists this long non-coding RNA (248 nucleotides) under Malus domestica (apple). RNAcentral describes it as "long non-coding RNA (MDOM_LNC002854)". The record is from RNAcentral. Lineage: Eukaryota; Viridiplantae; Streptophyta; Magnoliopsida; Rosales; Rosaceae.